GUGCUUGCUUCAGCAGCACACAUACUAAUAUUGGAAGGAAAGGAAGAUGAUACGGAUGAUUAAUGUGGCCCCUGUGCAAAGAUGACUUGGAAAUUCGUGAAGCAUUCCAUAUUUUU
This 116-nucleotide small nuclear RNA is filed under the name Rhinolophus ferrumequinum (greater horseshoe bat). Lineage: Eukaryota; Metazoa; Chordata; Mammalia; Chiroptera; Rhinolophidae. The record is from RNAcentral.